GAGGGGGUAGCUCAGUGGUAGAGUGCCUGCUGAGCAUGCACGAGGUCCUGGGUUCAAUCCCCAGUACCUACA
RNAcentral lists this transfer RNA (72 nucleotides) under Camelus bactrianus (Bactrian camel). It matches the Rfam family "tRNA". From Rfam's summary of the family: Transfer RNA (tRNA) molecules are approximately 80 nucleotides in length. Their secondary structure includes four short double-helical elements and three loops (D, anti-codon, and T loops). The record is from Rfam by way of RNAcentral. RNAcentral also lists the same sequence under 1 other name. Lineage: Eukaryota; Metazoa; Chordata; Mammalia; Artiodactyla; Camelidae.